This is a non-coding RNA of Echinostoma caproni, 82 nucleotides long. NCBI's taxonomy places the organism in Eukaryota, Metazoa, Platyhelminthes, Trematoda, Plagiorchiida, Echinostomatidae. The record is from Rfam.
GGCCUCGUAGCUCAGCUAGUAGAACGUGCGCGUUCAAACCGUAGGCAGCGUCCAUGCGUGGGUUCAAAUUCCACCGAGGCUA